This 69-nucleotide transfer RNA is filed under the name Hymenochirus boettgeri (Congo dwarf clawed frog). RNAcentral describes it as "tRNA-Pro". It matches the Rfam family "tRNA". From Rfam's summary of the family: Transfer RNA (tRNA) molecules are approximately 80 nucleotides in length. The record is from RNAcentral. Lineage: Eukaryota; Metazoa; Chordata; Amphibia; Anura; Pipidae.
CAGGACAUAGUUAAAUUAGAACGUCGGCUUUGGGGGUCGGUGGUGGGAGUUUAAGUCUCCUUGUCUUGA